AACGAACGCUGGCGGCAUGCCUAACACAUGCAAGUCGAACGAGACCUUCGGGACUAGUGGCGCACGGGUGCGUAACGCGUGGGAACCUGCCCUUAGGUUCGGAAUAACUCCCCGAAAGGGGUGCUAAUACCGGAUAAUGUCUUCGGACCAAAGAUUUAUCGCCUUUGGAUGGGCCCGCGUUGGAUUAGCUAGUUGGUAGGGUAAAAGCCUACCAAGGCGACGAUCCAUAGCUGGUCUGAGAGGAUGAUCAGCCACACUGGGACUGAGACACGGCCCAGACUCCUACGGGAGGCAGCAGUGGGGAAUAUUGGACAAUGGGCGAAAGCCUGAUCCAGCAAUGCCGCGUGAGUGAUGAAGGCCUUAGGGUUGUAAAGCUCUUUUACCCGGGAUGAUAAUGACAGUACCGGGAGAAUAAGCGCCGGCUAACUCCGUG
This 433-nucleotide ribosomal RNA is filed under the name uncultured bacterium. Its description in RNAcentral is "partial 16S ribosomal RNA". It matches the Rfam family "Bacterial small subunit ribosomal RNA", at positions 29 to 507 of the family's 1533-position model. The record is from RNAcentral.